Molecule: ribosomal RNA, 469 nt
Filed under: uncultured bacterium
Lineage: Bacteria
Description: partial 16S ribosomal RNA
Rfam family: Bacterial small subunit ribosomal RNA
Source: RNAcentral
GACGAACGCUGGCGGCGUGCUUAACACAUGCAAGUCGAACGGAAAGGCCCUGCUUGCCGGGUGCUCGAGUGGCGAACGGGUGAGUAACACGUGGGUGAUCUGCCCCUUACUUUGGGCUAAGCCUGGUAUACUGGGUCUAAUACUGGAUAGGACCCUGCUGUAGGUGGUGUGGUGGACAUAUUAUUUUCGGUAAGGGGUGAGCUCGCGGCCUAUCAGCUUGUUGGUGUGGUAAUGGCCUACCAAGGCGUCGCCGGGUAGCCGGCCUGAGAGGGUGGACGGCCACAUUGGGACUGAGAUACGGCCCAGACGCAUAAGGGAGGCAGAAGUGGGGAAGAGUGGACAAGGGGCGCAAGGCUGAUGCAGCGACGACGAGGGGGGGAUGAUGGCCUUCGGGUUGUAAACGCCAUGCAGCCAUGACGAAGCCCGUGUGGUGACGGUAGUGGUAGAAGAAGCACCGGCUAACUACGUG